This 253-nucleotide ribosomal RNA is filed under the name uncultured bacterium. RNAcentral's name for it is "partial 16S ribosomal RNA". It matches the Rfam family "Bacterial small subunit ribosomal RNA", at positions 524 to 776 of the family's 1533-position model. The record is from RNAcentral.
UACGUAGGGGGCAAGCGUUGUCCGGAUUUAUUGGGCGUAAAGAGCGUGUAGGCGGCCAUGCAGGUCCGUUGUGAAAACUCGAGGCUCAACCUCGAGACGUCGGUUGAAACCGUACGGCUAGAGUCCGGAAGAGGAGAGUGGAAUUCCCGGUGUAGCGGUGAAAUGCGCAGAUAUCGGGAAGAACACCCGUGGCGAAGGCGGCUCUCUGGGACGGUACUGACGCUGAGACGCGAAAGCGUGGGGAGCGAACAGG